This 819-nucleotide long non-coding RNA is filed under the name Capra hircus (goat). RNAcentral describes it as "lncRNA (ENSCHIG00010013047.1)". The record is from RNAcentral. Lineage: Eukaryota; Metazoa; Chordata; Mammalia; Artiodactyla; Bovidae.
GAUGCAGCAUAUUACCUUGUUAAAAUCAGAAAAAUUCUAGAUUCUAAAAAGCGUCUGGCUCCAAGGGUUCCAGAUAAUUUAUUGUGGACCUGUCUUUCCAGACAGACUCUCAAGUCUUCCUUGUCUACAGUCCAACUGCUUCCUAUCAUUCAUCAGCUAGGUCAUCUGUGAGGGCAGACAAACCUGGCUAAGACUCAGAAGCCUCAGGGCCCUACUGGAAACUCAACACCACGGACAGUAACACACACCACAGUUGAUGCCAAAUGUGCUAACAUCUUGGACUUGGUUUUCCUACACAGAGAGAGAGAUUCGCGCAAUGCACCAUGCCAGAGAGGUGCAACCAUUAUUUUCCAACAGUAAAGCACAAGGUAUAGGGUUGGGGUGGGAGACAGUUGAUGUCAUGGUUCUGGGCAGAGGAAAUAAAUGUGUUUCUUAUCUUUUUCCUCCAGCUGGUUCCAGGCUCUUCUCCUCUGACAUUAUUAAAAGCCUGGCAGGUACUUUGAAUGUUUGUUUCCAUCAAGUUUCCUUGCUUUUCUAAUCUGCAAAUACUUCUAAAUGGUUUCCUUUCCUGAGUUUACUGUGUUGCUUAGCCACUAGAUAUUUCCCAGCCUCAUCUUCCCAGCAACCAGGUAACUAGGUGGAGAUCUUGUUAGAUGUGGACAGGAAGUUCCUAGUGGACUCCUGCCAGCCUUGGCCACUCUAAUAAAAGGGAAGUGAAGUAAAUCACAGGUUCCCUAUGUUAUCCACACCCAGAUUAUCAUUAGGUCUCUGAGGAGGAAAAGAGGGGAAGUGGUUUCCAUCACUACCAAGUGCAGUCAC